This 1026-nucleotide long non-coding RNA is filed under the name Phasianus colchicus (ring-necked pheasant). RNAcentral's name for it is "lncRNA (ENSPCLG00000016458.1)". Lineage: Eukaryota; Metazoa; Chordata; Aves; Galliformes; Phasianidae. The record is from RNAcentral.
UAGAGUUCCAUGGGGGCUAUGGGGCAGAGCUAUGGGGCAGAAUAUGCGGCUGCCCAAUAGGGUUCCAUUGAGGCUAUAGGGCAGAGCUAUGGGGCAGAGCUAGGGGCAGGGUAUGGGGCUGUGGGGCAGCUGUGGGUCCUGCUAUGGGGCAGGGCUGUGGGUCCCGCUAUGGGGCAGCUGUGGGUCCGGCUAUGGGACAGGGCUAUGGAUCCCGCUAUGGGGUUGGGCUGUGGGGCUAUGGGGCAGGGCUGUGGGUCCCGCUAUGGGGCAGCAUAUGGGGCAGCUGUGGGUCCGGCUAUGGGGUGGGAUUAUGGGGCAGGGAUUUGGCGCUGUGGGGCAGGGCUGUGGGUCCCGCUAUAGGGCAGCUGUGGGUCCCGUUAUGGGGCAGGAUAUGGGGCUAUGGGGCAGCUGUAGAUCCCGCUAUGGGACAGGGCUGUGGGUCCCGUUAUGGGGCAGGAUAUUGGGCUAUGGGGCAGCUGUGGGUCCCGCUAUGGGGCAGGAUAUGGGGCUAUGGCGCAGGGCUGUGGGUCCCGCUAUAGGGCAGGGCUGUGGGUCCCGCUAUGGGGCAGGGGUGUGGGUCCCGUUAUGGGGCAGGAUAUGGGGCUAUGGGGCAGCUGUGGGUCCCGCUAUAGGGCAGGGCUGAGGGUCCCGCUAUGGGGCAGGGCUGUGGGGCUGUGGGUCCCGCUAUGGGGCAGUGGCACGAAGGGGCAGAGCUCCGGCCCCGUUGACGUCACGGACCAAUGAGGGGAGAGAGGAGGCGGGGCUUCAGACAAACCACGCCCCCUACGGCGCGCUGCCCCUCCCGGGGCGGCUCUGGGCACAGCGCCCCCCUGUGGGGGGGAGGACCUGCGGGAGGACCGAAUCUAUGGGGCGCCCCACGACCGCUAUGGGGCGAUCCCAAAACCACCGAACCCCGCUAUGGGGCUGCCCCACAACCCCCCCACACCCCACAAAACCCACACACCCCAUACACCCCCCCCAACACCCCUUAUAGGGCGCCCCACGGCCCCCCCACCCCAUAGCCCC